RNAcentral lists this ribosomal RNA (414 nucleotides) under uncultured Clostridium sp. Its description in RNAcentral is "bacterial SSU rRNA". It matches the Rfam family "Bacterial small subunit ribosomal RNA", at positions 355 to 780 of the family's 1533-position model. Lineage: Bacteria; Bacillati; Bacillota; Clostridia; Eubacteriales; Clostridiaceae. The record is from RNAcentral.
UUGGGAAUAUUGGGACAAAUGGGAGGAAACUCUGAUCCAGUGACGCCGCGUGAAGGAAGAAGGUCUUCGGAUUGUAAACUUAUUUUAUCAGGGAAGAAGAAAGUGACUGUACCUGAAGAAGAAGGACCGGCUAACUACGUGCCAGCAGCCGCGGUAAUACGUAGGGGGCAAGCGUUAUCCGGAUUUACUGGGUGUAAAGGGAGCGUAGACGGCUGGAUCAGUCUGAUGUGAAAGCCCGGGGCUCAACCCCGGGACUGCAUUGGAAACUGUCCAGCUAGAGUGCAGGAGAGGUAAGUGGAAUUCCUAGUGUAGCGGUGAAAUGCGUAGAUAUUAGGAGGAACACCAGUGGCGAAGGCGGCUUACUGGACUGUAACUGACGUUGAGGCUCGAAAGCGUGGGGAGCAAACAGGAUUA